GUCCACGCCCUAAACGAUGUCUACUAGUUGUUGGUGGAGUAAAAUCCAUGAGUAACGCAGCUAACGCGUGAAGUAGACCGCCUGGGGAGUACGGUCGCAAGAUUAAAAACUCAAAAUGAAUUGACGGGGGCCCGCACAAGCGGUGGAUUAUGUGGAUUAAUUCGAUGCAACGCGAAAAAACCUUACCUGGCCUUGACAUGUACGGAACUUUCCAGAGAUGGAUUGGUGCUCGAAAGAGAACCGUAACACAGGUGCUGCAUGGCUGUCGU
This 269-nucleotide ribosomal RNA is filed under the name uncultured bacterium. Its description in RNAcentral is "partial 16S ribosomal RNA". It matches the Rfam family "Bacterial small subunit ribosomal RNA", at positions 793 to 1055 of the family's 1533-position model. The record is from RNAcentral.